UCCGUAGGGUGCGAGCGUUAAUCGGAAUUACUGGGCGUAAAGCGUGCGCAGGCGGUUUUGUAAGCCAGAUGUGAAAGCCCCGGGCUUAACCUGGGAAUGGCAUUUGGGACUGCAAGGCUUGAGUGCGGCAGAGGAGACUGGAAUUCCUGGUGUAGCAGUGAAAUGCGUAGAUAUCAGGAGGAAGACCGAUGGCGAAGGCAGGUCUCUGGGCUGACACUGACGCUCAUGCACGAAAGCGUGGGGAGCAAACAGG
Molecule: ribosomal RNA, 253 nt
Filed under: uncultured bacterium
Lineage: Bacteria
Description: partial 16S ribosomal RNA
Rfam family: Bacterial small subunit ribosomal RNA
Source: RNAcentral